Molecule: transfer RNA, 65 nt
Filed under: Haemaphysalis sulcata
Lineage: Eukaryota; Metazoa; Arthropoda; Arachnida; Ixodida; Ixodidae
Description: tRNA-Glu
Source: RNAcentral
AUUUUAAGUAGUGUAAAAAACACCUAACAUUUUCGUUGUUAAAAUCUUUCUUUAAGCUUAAAUAA